This 253-nucleotide ribosomal RNA is filed under the name uncultured bacterium. RNAcentral describes it as "partial 16S ribosomal RNA". It matches the Rfam family "Bacterial small subunit ribosomal RNA", at positions 524 to 776 of the family's 1533-position model. The record is from RNAcentral.
UACGUAGGCAGCAAGCGUUGUUCGGAGUUACUGGGCGUACAGGGUGCGUAGGCGGCUUUUUAAGUUUGGUGUGAAAUCUCCCGGCUCAACUGGGAGGGUGCGCCGAAUACUGAGAGGCUAGAGUGUGGGAGAGGAAAGUGGAAUUCCUGGUGUAGCGGUGAAAUGCGUAGAUAUCAGGAGGAACACCGGUGGCGAAGGCGGGUCUCUGGGCCAUUACUGACGCUGAGGCACGAAAGCGUGGGGAGCAAACAGG